Long non-coding RNA from Malaya genurostris, 4486 nucleotides. RefSeq lists it as uncharacterized. The transcript has 4 exons. The record is from RefSeq and is a predicted model, not a curated record. Lineage: Eukaryota; Metazoa; Arthropoda; Insecta; Diptera; Culicidae.
AACAAUGUUGUGAUCAGUGCAAGUGCAAAAUAUCAACAUUACCGGCCACCUAAAUUUGCUAAGUCGACUUUUUGACUUUUUUAAUGCUCUUCUUCCUUUUCAGGUUGUUGAUCCGGCUGUACUGCUAACUGCCGAUCGAAUGGAAGUGGAAACAAUCUGCGAAUCGGACGUAUUAAUACCAUUUGGCCAACGUGUAUAUCUGCCGGAGAACAGGAUUUUUACCACUGCUGAUUGAGUUCGCUCCACGGUAGAGAAAAAUGUUUCGUAGCGGAAAUUUUUUGAACGGCAGCGAUUAAUGAAUCGAAGAAGAAGGUCUUCAGCGGGAGAAGGAUGAUUCAACAUACUAGGUCAAUUGUCUUCUUCUUCUUCCAGCCACAAUGGACACAUGAUCCGCCGGGUUAUCCGUUCCCUUUACGUGAUUCCACUUGUGUCCAUGUGUCAGCAGUAGAGAUGGUCGGGUAUCGGGUAUUUUACCCGAAACCCGACCCGUACCCGUACCCGACGGGUUUUUGGUCGGGUACGGGUAAAAAAUUUUAUUUUCGAUCGGGUACGGGUCGGGUACGGGUAAAAAAAUUUUUCGCUCACUCGGGUACGGGUCGGGUACGGGUAAAUUUUUUUUUCGGAUCGAUUACCCGACCAUUUGUACUUCACAUAAAUAUGUUUAUACGUUGACGAGAUUUUUUCAUUGCAAAACAGUUCUUCCGAAAAAUAAUCAAUUUGAUUCAAGGGGUUUUGACAUUCCCGCCUAGGACCAGACCUGUCAAACGGCAUCUUUUUCCAGAAAAAAACAUUUUUUUCUUCAUGAAAAGUUAUGUGAAUAUUUCCCGCCCUACUUUGUUUAUAACAUAUUUAAUAAGACACACUGCCUUAGCUCUAUGAUGUUGCGGUCGGAAUCUACUUUUCACGUAGGAUUUAAUGGACUGCCAUUUUAAAGCUGUUUAAUGCACAAUCCAGUAAAAAUUAUUUGAUUCAUAUACUGCCCAUACUCGCAUAUCAGUCUCAUAUCGAUUUUCGCCAAUUUUGAGUUAGCUUGAGGAAUGGAGCCUUUCCUCAAUAAACUCUCAGAAAUUGCAAUGAAAGUUGAGGGUUUGUUCAGUAAAAUAUCAACUCAUUUCUGUGUCCCAUAUGCUAAAGUACCCGCAUAUCAGUCCCAUUCAGUGCAAAAUUUCAAUAAUUUCAUUUGUUGCAAUAUUGGAACAGCAAAGGUGUAUUACCGAUAUUUCAUGUAAUAACACCAAGAUUUAGCAUUAGGGAGCAAAGCAAAGUCUUGGCAUUACAUUCCUUUCGUGGAAUUUGGCCUUUCUGUUUCAACAGACUUCGCAGCCGAUUCUUAGUGUACAGAAUCAUUGCAUGGCUAGUAAUAUGAAUCCUACUGACACUAAGAAUCCUUCCAGGUCGGGGUUCGAACAUACGACAGCUGGCUUGUAAGACCAGCGUCCUAUGCAUUGAACCGCCAACCCGGGACCAGCAUUAGGGAGCACAAUAAAUAAAAAAAAUCGGAAAUAAACUUUUGAUCGUCUUUUUCUCAACAUGCCGAUUUCCCAUAUGGGACUGAUAUGCAAGUAUGGGCAGUAUAUAAAAUGUAGUGUAGUACUCAUAUCACAUUCAGAUACCAGAAAACUGUUAUUUUAAAUAUUGGUUAGAGACUUUCAAAAUUUUCAUAAAAAUCAUUGGGAUUCUUACCAUAAAAACAUGGACAUUUAUUUCAGAAAAUCUGCAUAGAAGUUCUUAUUAUUCUGCACUUCUGGGUGGUGUCACCUCACUUUAAAUGACACCGAUUGAUGGCACAGCAAGUUGGGCUAUAUUGCUAGUUAAUUUUCGUUACUUUUCACUGGACUACAAGUGAAAAUCUCGAUGCGUGACAACGUGGAGUCACAGACUAACAGACAGGACACUCAAAUUAGAUUCUUCAAUCAUUGUAACGGUCAUUUCGAAUAUUCCUUUAUUUGGGACAGUACUCACAUGUGUCAUGAUGGCGCCACGUUACCCUAUCAAAAACAUCCUGUCUGUCAUCUAGACUGUGUUUAUUUUUUUCAUUUACCAACAGAGUUGCCAUUCAUACAGAAUUACCUGUAAUGUAUUGAUUUGUAUACGUCCAUGCGAAUUUCAUGCAGGAAACAGAUUCAAUACAUAUUGCCAAAACUAUAUACAUAAUUGUGCCUACUUCUUAUCCUCCAACGCAAUACAAAAUCGAACCCGAUAUGUUACAAUAUUAACUUGCUUCUGGUCUGCUGCCACUUAAUUUCGGAUGAAAACUACCAACACAAUAAAAAAUAGUCUAGAUGAACAACGUUGAUAAAAAUAAAAUAAAUGGUUACCUUCCAACAUCGCGAAAAAGUUAAAUAUAUUAUCAACGUAAUCCAAUAAUUUAUUGUGACGAUUCAUUUUCAAAUAUUUUGAUGAAAUCAGGCAUCCCUGCAAGCAGCUGAUCGGUGUUGACAAACGAGGGGAAACCAACUAGUAAAAAAAACUAUUACAUAAUCCAAGGGGUGUACAGAUAGUAAAUAGUUCGCGCAGUACAAUAUAGGUGGAACUAGUGCAUCACGAAAAAUUAUUUUUGUAAGAAUUUACUCAUACUGUCAUGUCUGUUAGUCUGUGGUGGAGUCGCAAAAGUAAGGGUGAAAAUCUUUUCUCGUGUUCACUCGUUGAGGGUUCCACCGGUUCAAAUUUUCACCGUGUUCACUCGUUGAGGGUUCCACCGGUUCAAUGGCUGUAAAAACCACCAGCUACCGAUAACAUCGUGGGUGUGGGUUUGUGAGGUUUACAAAACGGGCAUAGUUGACAGAUUAAUUUAAAUCAAAAUCAUAAUUAAUUUUGCUUUAUAGUAAAAAAUUGUAACCAAAAAAAUUUCCUACGAAUGUUCAAACUACUUACACUUGAAGGACUCACUGUUCACCAUGUUCAAAAUUGAAUUUUUCACACCGGGAAUACACGUACAUUGUUUGAUUCUUUGGUCGAACUGAUAACACACUAUUCAUUUUAGGGGAUGUUCGCAUAACAUUCAUUUUCGUCACGUAUAAUAUUCAAUUUGACAUUUGGAACUAUUUUACGUGAUUUUUCAAGUGAUUCGAAUGUGAAUUUUUAUUUGUGUGUCAAGAUAAUGAGCUCGCUUACUUAUAGUUCUAAAGAAUUGGAUCAAAAGUCGCACUGUUUCGUAAAAACCAUACCUACCCAAAAUUGAGUACAACGAGUAUUACGACAUAUUGGGUAAAUAUGCUUUUUGAAAAAUUUGAGUAGAUAUUACUCGCUUUUGUUGACAUUUGUAAAUGAGUAUAAAGUACCAAAGACAUUGGAAAUCUACAGGGUCCGCCAUCUAACAUUUAUUUUUGAACUAGCGGUUAUUUCGACAUUGGUAACCUAAAUGUCACUUCUGAUUUGACAGAAACUUAGUUGUAUCCUUCCGCUGAACGAAAAUGGUUGUGUGUACGCUUGAGGACCGCGUGAAAAUAGUGCAGUCUUACUUCCAAAAUUAUGGUAAUGUUGCGGAAUAUGUGCAAAAAAUCAUCUUCUCGGAUGAGGCACAUUUUCAUCUCGGCGGGUAUGUUAAUAAGCAAAAUUUUCGCAUCUGGUGACGGAAAACCCGCACGUCAUCAUGGAGAAGCCGAUCUCAGAGAGUGACGGUUUGGUGCGGAUUUUUGUCUGGCGGCAUCAUUGGGCCUUUUUUCUUAGAAAAUGAGGCAGGAGCCGCCGCCACGGUCAAUGGCGAGCGGUACCGCGUCAUCAUUAGCGAUUGGUUCUUCCCGUUACUUGAAGAGGUAGACUUGGACACCUUUUAAUUCCAACAAGACGGCGCUCCGUGCCACACAGCCAACGCUACGAUCGAUCAUCUGUGCACAGUCUUCGGAGAUCGAAUUAUCAGUCGAAAUUCGGAUGUCGUUUGGCCGCUUCGGAGCUGUGAUUUGACACCGUUAGACUAUUAUCUUUGAGCGGCUGUCAAAGAUAAGUGUUAUGUGGACAAGCCAGAGACAAUUCAAGCCUUGAAGGAUAACAUUCGUGCAUCCAUAGCUGAAAUAAAGCUGCAUACAAUCGAAAAUGUAUUAAAAAGCUGGACCGACCGUAUGGCGUACUGCAAGGCCAGCCGAGGCAGCCAUUUGAAUGAAAUUAUAUUCCACAAUUACCCGGAAGGAUUGUACUUUAAUAUGAAAAAAAAAAUUUUGAAUUCGGAUGAACCGUUUGUUUUUUUAUGCAUGUUUAAAACAAAGUUACAUUACAUUAUUCAUGCUUCACAGUGUAUUUAUAUGUUUAAAAGUAAACAAGCAUUUUAAUGUAUUUUUCUUACCAACUAGAGCCUGAUACGGCUCGAUAUCUAAAACACAUUUUUUUCCAUACUGAAUUUUGGUAAAAUUUUUACUACUCAUUCGGGUCGGGUACGGGUACAGGUAAAUUUUAAUCGGGUACGGGUCGGGUACGGGUAAAAUUUUUUAUUUUUUUUCGGGUACGGGUCGGGUACGGGUAAUUUUUAUUUAUUAUUGAUCGGGUACGGGUC